Molecule: transfer RNA, 70 nt
Filed under: Prosciurillus leucomus (whitish dwarf squirrel)
Lineage: Eukaryota; Metazoa; Chordata; Mammalia; Rodentia; Sciuridae
Description: tRNA-Asp
Rfam family: tRNA
About the family: Transfer RNA (tRNA) molecules are approximately 80 nucleotides in length.
Source: RNAcentral
AAGAUAUUAGUAAAAAAAAUUACAUAACUUUGUCAAAGUUAAUUUAUAGGUUAAAAUCCUUUAUAUCUUC